RNAcentral lists this ribosomal RNA (518 nucleotides) under uncultured Pelagibacterales bacterium. RNAcentral describes it as "bacterial SSU rRNA". It matches the Rfam family "Bacterial small subunit ribosomal RNA", at positions 91 to 643 of the family's 1533-position model. Lineage: Bacteria; Pseudomonadati; Pseudomonadota; Alphaproteobacteria; Candidatus Pelagibacterales. The record is from RNAcentral.
CUUAGUGGCAGACGGGUGAGUAACAUGUGGGUAUCUACCCUUUGGCCUGGAAUAACACGAGGAAACUUGUGCUAAUACCGGAUAAGUCUUUACAGAGAAAGCUUUAUGCACCAUUGGAUGAGCCCGCACUUGAUUAGUUUGUUGGUAGGGUAAUGGCCUACCAAGACUAUGAUCAAUAGCUGAUUUGAGAGGAUGAUCAGCCACAUUGGGACUGAGACACGGCCCAAACUCCUACGGGAGGCAGCAGUGGGGAAUCUUGCACAAUGGAGGAAACUCUGAUGCAGCGAUGCCGCGUGAGUGAAGAAGGCCUUUGGGUUGUAAAGCUCUUUCGUCGGGGAAGAAAAUGACUGUACCCGAAUAAGAAGGUCCGGCUAACUUCGUGCCAGCAGCCGCGGUAAUACGAAGGGACCUAGCGUAGUUCGGAAUUACUGGGCUUAAAGAGUUCGUAGGUGGUUGAAAAAGUUGGUGGUGAAAUCCCAGAGCUUAACUCUGGAACUGCCAUCAAAACUUUUCAGCUA